This 367-nucleotide unclassified non-coding RNA is filed under the name uncultured Orbiliales. RNAcentral describes it as "sequence contains ITS1". The stretch from base 1 to 105 matches the Rfam family "5.8S ribosomal RNA", at positions 50 to 154 of the family's 154-position model. The record is from RNAcentral. Lineage: Eukaryota; Fungi; Ascomycota; Orbiliomycetes; Orbiliales.
GAAACGCGAUAGUUAAUGUGAAUUGCAGAAUUCAGUGAAUCAUCGAGUCUUUGAACGCACAUUGCGCCUUUUGGUAUUCCGAGAGGCACGCCUGUCUGAGCGUCAGUAAAACCCCUCGGCUAGUAAUUUAUUGCAAAGCCGGUCUUGACGGGGAACCCUGCUGGGCGACUGGAGCCUAAACCCUUCGGGGUGGACGGCGUCCAGGGGCCCGGCCCCCCGUUUAAAUCGGAGAGCGGAGCACCGCCCCACGGCGCCGCAAAAAUAGUAGUGAUAUUCUUUUUGCAGUGUGCUUAGUGUCCGGCCGCUAUAAACCCCCAAAAUUUUGAAUUUUGACCUCAGAUCAGACGAGGAUACCCGCUGAACUUAA